UGACCAAUAGCCAUCCUGCCUCAUGAAGAAAAAAAAGUUUUGUCUGAUUCUUGCACAACAAGUUAUAGGAGUUUCAUAUAAAUUAAAUGAAAAUGCCUGGUUUUGGGGGUUUUUUUUGGCAUUUAUAGAUUCUGAGAACUCAACAUGACCUCACAAAAUAACUAAUCUUCUUCAGCCUGGAGGUGGAACUCCACUUCUGCCAAUCUGAGUCAACCUAAGCUAACCUAAACCUAAACAGCCUUCUUGAUAUGGUCUGAAAUAUGGCAGUCUUUAAUCAACAGAAUGUAACUUAUUCAUGCUGAAGUCAAGAGACAUGGAAGGGGGAAAGAGCUGGGGCCAAAUCAUCAGCUCGAUUAUGUGGAAGAUGGAGUUGGUGGCUGCGGAUGUAGGGUGAUGAAGGGAAGAGCAGUGAAUCAAUACCAGGAUGAAAACAGAGCUGAGAAUGAAGAAGAGGUCAGAUUGAAGGGUUUUAUAUGAGGAUCACAUCAUACAGAUCUUACAAAUCUAAUCAAAAGGAUUCAAAACUGAAAAUGGACCAUAGCUGUCCAGCCAGAAGUGAUCUUAGAAAUCAUGAAGUUAACCUCAUUUGCAGAUGAGGCAACUAGGGCCAGAGAAUUUAAAUGACUUGUGUGAGGUCACCAAAGGAAUCUAUUUCUAUACAUAUUAUAAGUUAUAGAAUCAGGAUUCAAACCCAGAUCCUUUAAAGCCAGCACCCUGUAGAAUGCAUCCCCCAUCCUACAGCAAGGAUAUAACAAAGUUCCCACAACUGAAUGCACUUAGUUUUCUACAAGUGUUUUCACGGAGCACUGUAGAGAUAUGAGUUAUAUGACUAUUAUUAUACCCAGCUGUGCUAGGCAAGCCUUCCAACCUUCACUAAAUUAAUUGUAGCCGGACAGCUCCUGCUGGUGGCAGCAACUUCACUGUCGAAGUAAAUGACUAUUUCCAAGUGGCAGUGGACAAAUCAUGGUACCUUAAAGACAAGCAGAGAAUAGUGGAAAAACAAUUAGCUUAAAAGGAAAUGUCUUUAUUAUUGGUUGCAUACAAUAUUCCCAAGUUUCCCUCUUUGGAGGUUCUCUAAAUUGGAACCCUAUGAAGACCAAAGGACCAUCUUGUAAUAUUACAAAUAUCGUAGCAUCAAAGGAUGAGAGAAUUAUAGCUUCUAACUGGAUUAGUUCUAUAUCCAUGUAGAAGAACCUGUUAAACUAGAAUUAUGGCAAUUCUUUUUGUAAUG
Vombatus ursinus (common wombat) is the source of this 1231-nucleotide long non-coding RNA. RefSeq lists it as uncharacterized. The record is from RefSeq and is a predicted model, not a curated record. The transcript is spliced from 3 exons. Lineage: Eukaryota; Metazoa; Chordata; Mammalia; Diprotodontia; Vombatidae.